UGAAUGUUUUUUUUUUAAUUAAGUUUUUGCUGCUGGAUGUUUGAUGUUGGUGGGAUGGAUACACGUUUUUGUCUCUGAUUCACAUCUUUCAUGUGAAGAUUUGGUUACUAGGCGUUUGAUGAAAUGGGCCUUGUGUGUUCCUUGUUUGUUGCUCGAUAAUUUCUAUUUGUUGCUUGGGAUGUAUAUGUUCAAUUAUUCACCACAGGUUAUCUACAUAAAUCAAACUAUACGAGCUAGAUUUAAGCGAUUGAGAUUGGUUUAUUGUCUAGCUUGUUCUGGAAUGCUUACUUUCUGGUUAUCUUAACAUCUACAGUUAGCUCAUCAUCGUUUGUUCAUUAAACUGCAUAUUUUUCUAUGUCCAAGAUAUGUGAUGAUGCAGGUUAUUAUCUUGUUUUGUUAUCGCGUUAUUGCUUGUUGUCAUUGUUUGUCAUAGUUGUUGUAGUUAUUUACUGAAAUCAGAUUCUUUUAUUAGAGCAUUAUAUCUUUUACCAAACAACGGCAUACACUACUUCUCCUAGAGCUGGAAACACAAACAAUCAAACCUACUCUUUAAGUACUUGCUUGUUUUAUUUUGAGCUUUUUGGGUUCUUUUGAAAAUUUUGGCUUUUGCUAGGAUUAGAUUUGUCUGGUUUUUCUGGGCGUAUUUUGAAUUCUACGUGUAUUCUACAUGCAUAAUUAGGCCCUUCCAUCUUUUUUGCUUAGAUUCUUUCUGAGCUUCGCUAGAUUUCAUCCAUCAUUACAGCAUAGCUUUUUAUAAUUAUUUAUUUUCUUAUCAUAGCUCUCCUGAAUAUUUGUGAAGGUUCGAAAAUGUUCUCUGAUGCUGUGUGCUUUUUUCAUAAAUGGUUUUUAGUUUAAACACUAGACUCACCAGUCUGAUUAGUCAAUAGAUCAUUAUAAAUUUCUUCUUUAACGCGUAAUCAGGAAAUUUGUUGGAACAUAAUAAAUUAUUUUUGAUUAAUGUCUAACAUGUAUUCCAAAUUGUUUUUGCAUGUCUAAUUAUUUUCUGUCAGGAUAAUUUUUUUUCCUUUCCUUUCGUUUUAUUUUCUUGUGAAAAUCAUACAAAUCUUUGGAAACUUAGAGAUCAGUUUUUUUCUGAAUAUUUGAUUGAAAGUCAAGUAAAAACUCUGCAAGCGAAAAGCUUAAUUCUCUUAAUCGAUUGUAGCCCAAUAAGUGCAGGGAAUUAUACUAUGCUGUCGUGGUUUCUACGAAAUAUUAAACAUCCAAACACAGAAAGCAUUUGCUAACAAUGAAUCUGUACCUCGUUAUCAUUUGAUGAUGUUUGAAAAGUAUUAUCCCCAUUCACUGUUAUAAAUAGCGGUAAAUAGCCCCUCAAUAGCGGCACUAAUAGCGUUAGCGGUGCCUUCUCGUUACGUUAUCGUCCAAUAGCGGUGACAUAUUGCGGAAUAUGCACUUUCCAUUCGCAAAAACGGUCGAUAGUGUGCCGUAACGGUAAAUAGUGGGCAAUUACAUGUGAAAUUCGCUUUUCGAUUGCUAUUUAAAAGCGGUUUGACGUUUAUUUUUUAAAAUUAAACCUGACCAUUGACAAUGACCAUUGACCAUUGCGUUUCACCGUCUCCUAUGAUUUUCGGCAUACUCCCGUCACCUCUGGCAUCUACCUCAGUACUUCCUCUCACUUAUUUCACCGUGAGCUCCUCUUAGGACAGUCCUCUCACCCACUUUGCUCUUCUUCUCAAAGAUGACGACUCUUUGAUUCCUUCAGUCAUCUUCGCAAUAGCCCCAAAUAGCCUUAGUGAUGCCUCACCUCUAUGCGACGCUAGCCGCUAUCGAUAACCUUGCCCCCAUUUCAUUUCAUUCGCUUCGCAUGUGAUCAGCUCUAUCCACAUAUUUACAGCGUGACAACUAUUUUAUGUCUUAACCUCCAAAUUCCUUUUUAACAGUAUGGGUAGCCGGUAUUUUCCAUUAUUUGUUUAUUUUCGUAUGUAACGUAGGAAAGAUUCUUAUUUGUUUGGAAAUUAUUCUUCAAGAUUUAUAUC
Molecule: long non-coding RNA, 1994 nt
Organism: Asparagus officinalis (garden asparagus)
Lineage: Eukaryota; Viridiplantae; Streptophyta; Magnoliopsida; Asparagales; Asparagaceae
Exons: 2
Source: RefSeq, a predicted model, not a curated record